GAAAUGUGAUAAGUAGUGUGAAUUGCAGAAUUCAGUGAAUCAUCGAAUCUUUGAACGCACAUUGCGCCCUUUGGUAUUCCUUAGGGCAUGCCUGUUCGAGCGUCAUUUGUAACCUCAAGCUCAGCUUGGUGUUGGGUGUCUGUCCCCGCCCCGCGCGGGGACUCGCCUCAAAAACAUUGGCGGCCGGUACGUUGGCUUCGAGCGCAGCAGAAACGCGAACUCGAGGCCCGACGGAUCGGCGACCAGAAGUCACUUCUUCCACAGCUUGACCUCGGAUCAGGUAGGGAUACCCGCUGAACUUAAGC
This 305-nucleotide unclassified non-coding RNA is filed under the name plant metagenome. RNAcentral describes it as "partial contains 5.8S ribosomal RNA, internal transcribed spacer 2, and large subunit ribosomal RNA". The stretch from base 1 to 105 matches the Rfam family "5.8S ribosomal RNA", at positions 50 to 154 of the family's 154-position model. The record is from RNAcentral.